Molecule: ribosomal RNA, 661 nt
Filed under: uncultured bacterium
Lineage: Bacteria
Description: bacterial SSU rRNA
Rfam family: Bacterial small subunit ribosomal RNA
Source: RNAcentral
UGCAGUCGAGCGGAACGAUCCUAGCUUGCUAGGAGGCGUCGAGCGGCGGACGGGUGAGUAACGCGUGAGAAUCUACCCAUGAGUGGGGGACAACCCGGGGAAACUCGGGCUAAUACCGCAUACGCCCUACGGGGUAAAGCAGGGGACCUUCGGGCCUUGCGCUGAUGGAUGAGCUCGCGUCGGAUUAGCUUGUUGGUGAGGUAAAGGCUCACCAAGGCGACGAUCCGUAGCUGGUCUGAGAGGAUGAUCAGCCACACCGGGACUGAGACACGGCCCGGACUCCUACGGGAGGCAGCAGUGGGGAAUCUUGGACAAUGGGGGCAACCCUGAUCCAGCCAUGCCGCGUGUGUGAAGAAGGCCUUCGGGUUGUAAAGCACUUUCAGCAGGGAGGAAGGCUUACCCCUAAUACGGGUGAGUACUUGACGUUACCUGCAGAAGAAGCACCGGCUAAUUUCGUGCCAGCAGCCGCGGUAAUACGAAAGGUGCAAGCGUUAAUCGGAAUUACUGGGCGUAAAGCGCGCGUAGGCGGUGUGUUAAGUCGGAUGUGAAAGCCCAGGGCUCAACCUUGGAAUUGCAUCCGAUACUGGCACGCUAGAGUGCAGUAGAGGGAGGUGGAAUUUCCGGUGUAGCGGUGAAAUGCGUAGAGAUCGGAAGGAACACC